CACAGAUUGGCUAAUAACUAGUUAAUGAGCUGCAUGUUGGGAGAUGUGUUUGGGGCAGAGCGGAGCGAUGGUCACAUUUUGAGCAGAUGUUGAAGUUAUUGCUGUAUCUGUUCUUUGGCUGAACAAGCAGAUCCAGUAAGUGGAGAAGGAAGUCACAGGAUUUACCCACAGGAAUGGCGGGUUCGGAGAGCUCUGAUAUUGGGACAGAAUUUCUAACCCAUCCAAACACAACGUAAUACUUCACUCUGUGCUUGGGGGGCAAAUCGUGCUUAUACUCUGCAAAAAAAAAUCCAAAACCAAGUGUUUACUGAGCUAGAUCAGGAUUUAUCAACUAAUCAAAUACAAAGCACUAGUAACAGAUUAUUGUAGCUAACUAGUACCCCAAGAACCACUAGUAACAGAUUAUUGUAGCUAACUAGUACCCCAAGAACCACUAGUAACAGAUUAUUGGAGCUAACUAGUACCCCAAGAACCACUAGUAACAUAUUAUUGUAGCUAACUAGUACCCCAAGAUUAACUAUUUGACAAGAACCACUAUUAACUAAC
Molecule: non-coding RNA, 546 nt
Organism: Pelobates cultripes (western spadefoot toad)
Lineage: Eukaryota; Metazoa; Chordata; Amphibia; Anura; Pelobatidae
Source: the annotation of a GenBank genome assembly